This 257-nucleotide ribosomal RNA is filed under the name uncultured bacterium. RNAcentral's name for it is "partial 16S ribosomal RNA". It matches the Rfam family "Bacterial small subunit ribosomal RNA", at positions 524 to 776 of the family's 1533-position model. The record is from RNAcentral.
UACGUAGGCAGCAAGCGUUGUUCGGAAUUACUGGGCGUAAAGAGUGUGUAGGCGGUGCUCUAAGUUCGGGUGUGAAAUCUCCCGGCUCAACUGGGAGGGUGCGCCGGAAACUGGAAGUGCUGGAGCGCGGGAGAGGGAAAGCGGAAUUCCUGGUGUAGCGGUGAAAUGCGUAGAUAUCAGGAGGAACACCGGCGGUGUAGACGGCUUUCUGGACCGUAGCUGACGCUGAGACACGAAAGACGUGGGUAGCAAACAGG